Molecule: long non-coding RNA, 134 nt
Organism: Cervus elaphus (red deer)
Lineage: Eukaryota; Metazoa; Chordata; Mammalia; Artiodactyla; Cervidae
Exons: 3
Source: RefSeq, a predicted model, not a curated record
UUGAACUUGCUCCGAUGGGUCUGAGAAUCUAUGUGGGCUUGCUUCUGCUGACCCCAAAAGUCUUGAGUCUGCUGUUUGACCCUCAAGAAAACACCUUCCUGUCCUGGGCUCCUUCCUACGCCGCAUUCCACAAU